RNAcentral lists this ribosomal RNA (397 nucleotides) under Pseudothyrsocera sinensis. RNAcentral describes it as "partial small subunit ribosomal RNA". It matches the Rfam family "Microsporidia small subunit ribosomal RNA", at positions 752 to 1227 of the family's 1311-position model. Lineage: Eukaryota; Metazoa; Arthropoda; Insecta; Blattodea; Blattellidae. The record is from RNAcentral.
UAUUAUUUUAGAUGUAAAAUAUUUAAACUUGAGUAGUAGUAGAAUAAGGUCUUGAAACUUAAAGAAUUUGGCGGUAUUUUAGUCUAUUUAGAGGAAUCUGUCCCGUAAUCGAUAAUCCGCGUUGGACCUUACUUAGAUUGAUUGAAUAUGUAUACCGCUGUUGUUGAAAAUCUUUUUAGAGUUAAUUUUUUCAAUAUUUGUUAAAUAAUUUUUCAGGUCAAGGUGCAGUUUAUAUUUAAGUGGAGAUGGAUUACAAUAUUUAAUAAAUAUACGGAUUAUUAUUUGAAAUUAAUAAUAUGAAGGUGGAUUUAAUAGUAAUAUUAUGAAGUUUGUUAAUAUGAUUAUAGCUCUAAAAUAUGCACACAUCGCCCGUCGCUCUCGUUAUAUUUAAGGUGAG